Cyprinus carpio (common carp) is the source of this 667-nucleotide long non-coding RNA. RefSeq lists it as uncharacterized. The record is from RefSeq and is a predicted model, not a curated record. NCBI's taxonomy places the organism in Eukaryota, Metazoa, Chordata, Actinopteri, Cypriniformes, Cyprinidae. The transcript has 3 exons.
GAAUGAUCCGAUUGCAGCUGUUCUAGAGUCGACAACUCACUGAUUCAAAUGAACCGUUUAGUGCGAGUCUACAGUGAACUGAAUUCAUAAGUAAGCACUUGUGAGCGCGCGCGCGUCUGAUGCUGUUAAAGACAUCAUUUGGAAGUGCUGCCUGGAUGGUUACAGAGAAAACUGCUGAUGGUCCAAUCAAGAAAGGAGAGCAGAUGUUGACUGACUGACUGGACAAUCAGGAGAAACAUUUGAGAAGCAGGAAACUUAGGCAACAGUCUCUGAUCUUCAGAACUUUAAAGCUGACAUUUCUGCAGGUCAUUGCAGUCAGAGGGUUAGAAGUUUCCUGAAUGCAAGGCCCUUUGCGUCUUUGAGCAAAACGGAGUACUUGGUUGUUUGCUGCAGAUUAUACUUACAGUUUAUUGUGAUUUGAGAAAGAUCUCUGCAUCUCUGCAAAUGGGUGGCUGUGCCAAAUAGAGGAUUAAGGAGUAGCUGAGAGAGAAGUUCGCCUGAUGGGAAGUUUUAAUUGCCUGCCUUUUUUUCUCUCUGUCUGUAACCUUUCACUGCUCUAAUUAGUCAACAGGUUCAAUCUCAUACUUGCUGUAAUCACCCUUAAAGCCUGUCUCUGCCCACUCUUUUAACACUGUGAUGUAACAGACUGCAAGUUAGAAAGUGGACU